ACUCCCACGGGAGGCAGCAGUUGGGAAUAUUGGACAAUGGGCGAAAGCCUGAUCCAGCAAUGCCGCGUGAGUGAUGAAGGCCCUCGGGUCGUAAAGCUCUUUCAGCGGGAAAGAAUAAAUUGACGGUACCCGCAGAAGAAGCACCGGCUAACUCUGUGCCAGCAGCCGCGGUAAU
RNAcentral lists this ribosomal RNA (175 nucleotides) under uncultured soil bacterium. Its description in RNAcentral is "partial 16S ribosomal RNA". It matches the Rfam family "Bacterial small subunit ribosomal RNA", at positions 335 to 524 of the family's 1533-position model. The record is from RNAcentral.